This 310-nucleotide RNase P RNA is filed under the name marine eukaryotic metagenome. Its description in RNAcentral is "Bacterial RNase P class B". It matches the Rfam family "Bacterial RNase P class B". Rfam says of the family: Ribonuclease P (RNase P) is a ubiquitous endoribonuclease, found in archaea, bacteria and eukarya as well as chloroplasts and mitochondria. Its best characterised activity is the generation of mature 5'-ends of tRNAs by cleaving the 5'-leader elements of precursor-tRNAs. Cellular RNase Ps are ribonucleoproteins. The record is from RNAcentral.
AACGUUAGGAAAGUCCAUGCUAGCACAAGCUGAGACGCUUGUAGUGAUUGUGAUGGAGGAAACCAUAACUCCAUGCACGUCUUCGGACGUGACGGCCGGGAAGGCGCCUGUCAAAUGGCGUCGGUACCUGUAAAAGUGCCACAGAGACGAGCCGGCCGGGAAACCGGACGGGUGGAACGGGUAAACCCCGCAAGCUAGAAACCCAAAUUAUGGUAGGGGCACUCCGGCGUGGGAAAUGAACCAACAACGGAGCUGCGCAUGCAGAGAUAAAUGAUUGCCGCCCUCUCGAGGGUACAGAACAUGGCUUAUC